This 482-nucleotide ribosomal RNA is filed under the name Candidatus Woesearchaeota archaeon. RNAcentral's name for it is "partial 23S ribosomal RNA". It matches the Rfam family "Archaeal large subunit ribosomal RNA", at positions 2394 to 2877 of the family's 2987-position model. Lineage: Archaea; Nanobdellati; Candidatus Woesearchaeota. The record is from RNAcentral.
CGGGGCAGAAAUCCGGUGUAGAGUGCAAGGGCAAAAGCCGGCCUAACUGGGAUCCCAACGUGACAGAUCUCAGUAGAGAAAUCUUGGCCUAGCGAUCCUUUGGUUCUCUUUGUUGGGGGCCAGAUGUGACCGAAAAGUUACUCCGGGGAUAACAGAGUUGUCGCGCCCGAGAGCUCAUAUCGACGGCGCGGCUUGCUACAUCGAUGUCGGCUCUUCCUAUCCUGGCCGUGCAGAAGCGGCCAAGGGUGGGGGUGUUCACCCAUUAAAAGGGAUCGUGAGCUGGGUUCACAACGCUGCGAGGCAGUUGGUAUGAUAUCUACUGGACCUGCGAAGCGUCUGAGGGGAAGGAUCAUUUAGUACGAGAGGAACGAUGACUCCACGCCUCUAGUCUACCGGUUGUCUGGAAAGGCAGGCCGGGCAGCCACGCGUGAAGGGAUAAAUACUGAAAGCAUCUAAGUAUGAAACCCACCUCGAAAAGAGAC